Molecule: ribosomal RNA, 380 nt
Filed under: uncultured eukaryote
Lineage: Eukaryota
Description: partial 18S ribosomal RNA
Rfam family: Eukaryotic small subunit ribosomal RNA
Source: RNAcentral
CAAUAGCGUAUAUUAAAGUUGUUGCGGUUAAAAAGCUCGUAGUUGGAUUUCUGCUGAGAACGACCGGUCCGCCCUUUGGGUGUGUAUCUGGCUCUUUCUUGGCAUCUUCUUGGUGAACGUUGCUGCACUUGACUGUGUGGAGCGCUACCCAGGACUUUUACUUUGAGGAAAUUAGAGUGUUUCAAGCAGGCAUACGCCUUGAAUACAUUAGCAUGGAAUAAUAAGAUAGGACCUCGGUUCUAUUUUGUUGGUUUCUAGAGCUGAGGUAAUGAUUAAUAGGGAUAGUUGGGGGCAUUCGUAUUUAACUGUCAGAGGUGAAAUUCUUGGAUUUGUUAAAGACGGGCUACUGCGAAAGCAUUUGCCGAGGAUGUUUUCAUUGA